RNAcentral lists this long non-coding RNA (256 nucleotides) under Ananas comosus (pineapple). Its description in RNAcentral is "long non-coding RNA (ACOM_LNC038811)". The record is from RNAcentral. Lineage: Eukaryota; Viridiplantae; Streptophyta; Magnoliopsida; Poales; Bromeliaceae.
CCGUUUUCACUCAUUUUCGCUCGUUCGACCUCCGAUUCCUUUCAAAUCGAACCAAGACUCUCCAAACAUGUUUUCGAACAUGUUUUCAUCAUCUUUUCAUCCACGCUAAUGCCGGAUUUAGUUCACGGCCCAUCAUAGCCUUUCGGGUUUCGUUUUCUACGUGUAUUGAAGCACCCGAAUGCUUCCGAACUUCACCGUAACCAUUCUAACAGCUUUCCAAGCUAACAUGCACCACAACUUCAUAAUUAUAGAAGUU